RNAcentral lists this ribosomal RNA (520 nucleotides) under uncultured Glomus. RNAcentral describes it as "SSU rRNA". It matches the Rfam family "Eukaryotic small subunit ribosomal RNA", at positions 569 to 1091 of the family's 1831-position model. The record is from RNAcentral. Lineage: Eukaryota; Fungi; Glomeromycota; Glomeromycetes; Glomerales; Glomeraceae.
AGCAGCCGCGGUAAUUCCAGCUCCAAUAGCGUAUAUUAAAGUUGUUGCAGUUAAAAAGCUCGUAGUUGAAUUUCGGGAUCAAUAUGUUGGUCGUGCCUUGGUACGUACUGGCAUUAUCGAUUCCUACCUUCUGAAGAACCUCGAUGUCAUUAAUUUGGUGUCUUGGGGAAUCAGGACUGUUACUUUGAAAAAAUUAGAGUGUUAAAGCAAGCUAACGCUUGAAUACAUUAGCAUGGAAUAAUGAAAUAGGACGUUCGAUCCUAUUUUGUUGGUUUCUAGGAUUGACGUAAUGAUUAAUAGGGAUAGUUGGGGGCAUUAGUAUUCAAUUGUCAGAGGUGAAAUUCUUGGAUUUAUUGAAGACUAACUACUGCGAAAGCAUUUGCCAAGGAUGUUUUCAUUAAUCAAGAACGAAAGUUAGGGGAUCGAAGACGAUCAGAUACCGUCGUAGUCUUAACCAUAAACUAUGCCGACUAGGGAUCGGAUGAUGUUAAUUUUUUCAAUGACUCAUUCGGCGCCUUAC